GUGCAGCAGGCGAGAAUUUUUCUCAAUGGGGGCAACCCUGAAGGAGCGACGCCGCGUGGAGGAUGAAGGCUUUCGGGUUGUAAACUCCUGUCAUUUGAGAACAAGUGGCCGAACCUAACUACUUCGGCCUUGAUAGUAUCAGAAGAGGAAGGGACGGCUAACUCUGUGCCAGCGGCCGCGGUAAUACAGAGGUCCCAAGCGUUGUUCGGAUUCAUUGGGCGUAAAGGGUGCGUAGGUGGCGCCGUCAGUGGGGUGUGAAAUUUCGGAGCUUAACUCCGAAACUGCAUUCCAUACUGCGGUGCUUGAGGACUGGAGAGGAGACUGGAAUUUACGGUGUAGCAGUGAAAUGCGUAGAGAUCGUAAGGAAGACCAGUGGCGAAGGCGGGUCUCUGGACAGUUCCUGACACUGAGGCACGAAGGCCAGGGGAGCAAACGGGAUUAGAUACCCCGGUAGU
This 455-nucleotide ribosomal RNA is filed under the name uncultured organism. RNAcentral describes it as "bacterial SSU rRNA". It matches the Rfam family "Bacterial small subunit ribosomal RNA", at positions 346 to 794 of the family's 1533-position model. The record is from RNAcentral.